This 467-nucleotide ribosomal RNA is filed under the name uncultured bacterium. RNAcentral describes it as "partial 16S ribosomal RNA". It matches the Rfam family "Bacterial small subunit ribosomal RNA", at positions 30 to 507 of the family's 1533-position model. The record is from RNAcentral.
CGAACGCUGGCGGCGUGCUUCACACAUGCAAGUCGAACGGUGAAGCGAGUGCUUGCACUCGUGGAUCAGUGGCGAACGGGUGAGUAACACGUGAGUAACCUGCCCAUCACUCUGGGAUAAGCACUGGAAACGGUGUCUAAUACUGGAUACGACCAACCCUUGCAUGGGGUGUUGGUGGAAAGAUUUAUCGGUGAUGGAUGGACUCGCGGCCUAUCAGCUUGUUGGCGGGGUAAUGGCCCACCAAGGCGACGACGGGUAGCCGGCCUGAGAGGGUGACCGGCCACACUGGGACUGAGACACGGCCCAGACUCCUACGGGAGGCAGCAGUGGGGAAUAUUGCACAAUGGGCGAAAGCCUGAUGCAGCGACGCCGCGUGAGGGAUGACGGCCUUCGGGUUGUAAACCUCUUUCAGCAGGGAAGAAGCGAAAGUGACGGUACCUGCAGAAGAAGCACCGGCUAACUACGUG